UUCUCCUCCUUAGCUUUAAUAACUGGCUUUUCCCCAAAAUGAAUGAGCACUAGCUCAGCUUCUCUAUUUGCAUUCAUCUUUUACUGUACAUUUGGAUUUGUCACUGUUGGAGUAAACAAAGCUGCAUGAAUUAAGGCCCAUGACCCUUCACUGUGCACUGAAAGUGGAGCAUAAAUAGGCUUACCUCGCUUGUGAGCUACAUCCAGUGAUACAACUUGACUGCAGAUGGAAAUCUGUCAUCUAAGAGGAAAGCAAGAAAACCAUGAAAACACCAUCCUCAGAACCAUGAAAAAAAGAUAGAAAGUCAUUCAUAGUGAGCUGGACUGGAAACUUGGACUGUGAAAACAUCCUUAAUUCAACUCCAAAGAACAGUUUGGCACAUACCAGGUUUGUGCUUGAUAGAGCUCCUGCUUAUUCCAUGUACAUGUACAGAGAGCAAACUAGUCCCAGUGCUCUAGUAUUACAUUUCUUUUGUAACAAGAUAUUUUUUCCCCUGAAGUUAUAAUUAAAGCACUUUUGUGGUG
Molecule: long non-coding RNA, 524 nt
Organism: Passer montanus (Eurasian tree sparrow)
Lineage: Eukaryota; Metazoa; Chordata; Aves; Passeriformes; Passeridae
Exons: 2
Source: RefSeq, a predicted model, not a curated record